AGCCGAAACGGCCUGCGGGCCGUCUGCCGGGAGUGGCCGCCCGGCACUGAUGAUGGCAGGCCAGA
Molecule: non-coding RNA, 65 nt
Filed under: Gemmiger formicilis
Lineage: Bacteria; Bacillati; Bacillota; Clostridia; Eubacteriales; Oscillospiraceae
Also listed under: 2 other names
Source: RNAcentral